RNAcentral lists this small nuclear RNA (22 nucleotides) under Arabidopsis thaliana (thale cress). RNAcentral describes it as "snRNA_03260". Lineage: Eukaryota; Viridiplantae; Streptophyta; Magnoliopsida; Brassicales; Brassicaceae. The record is from RNAcentral.
UCAGAAGAAAAAGCGGGCCACU